GAUGAACGCUGGCGGCGUGCCUAAUACAUGCAAGUCGAGCGAACAGACGAGGAGCUUGCUCCUCUGACGUUAGCGGCGGACGGGUGGGUAACACGUGGAUAACCUACCUAUAAGACUGGGAUAACUUCGGGAAACCGGAGCUAAUACCGGAUAAUAUAUUGAACCGCAUGGUUCAAUAGUGAAAGACGGUUUUGCUGUCACUUAUAGAUGGAACCGCGCCGCAUUAGCUAGUUGGUAAGGUAACGGCUUACCAAGGCAACGAUGCGUAGCCGACCUGAGAGGGUGAUCGGCCACACUGGAACUGAGACACGGUCCAGACUCCUACGGGAGGCAGCAGUAGGGAAUCUUCCGCAAUGGGCGAAAGCCUGACGGAGCAACGCCGCGUGAGUGAUGAGGGUCUUCGGAUCGUAAAACUCUGUUAUUAGGGAAGAACAAAUGUGUAAGUAACUAUGCACGUCUUGACGGUACCUAAUCAGAAAGCCACGGCUAACUACGUG
RNAcentral lists this ribosomal RNA (497 nucleotides) under uncultured bacterium. RNAcentral's name for it is "partial 16S ribosomal RNA". It matches the Rfam family "Bacterial small subunit ribosomal RNA", at positions 28 to 507 of the family's 1533-position model. The record is from RNAcentral.